Brassica napus (rape) is the source of this 3146-nucleotide long non-coding RNA. RefSeq lists it as uncharacterized. The transcript is spliced from 2 exons. The record is from RefSeq and is a predicted model, not a curated record. NCBI's taxonomy places the organism in Eukaryota, Viridiplantae, Streptophyta, Magnoliopsida, Brassicales, Brassicaceae.
AUUGUAAAAAGGAAAAAAAAAAUUAGAAAAAGGAAAUUAUUGUCAAGUAAAAACCAUCAAAUAAUCUUUUGCUAUUAUUAUCUUUGUUUAGUAUUUAAAAAGGAAAACUACGAUUAAAUAAUUCUUUUGUGUUAUUAUCUUAUUAUAUUUAUAUUAUUAAAUAUGAUAAAUUUUAACACAUAUCAUCAUCUUAAAUUUUUAAUUGUCAUGUGUCAUCGUCAUGUUAAUUAACAACUUUGAAAAACUAAGCUUUGUAUAAUAAGAUUAGAUCUCUUUUUAUAUAGGGUUAUACAAAUCAUAACCCUACGAAUAUUUGAAAAACUGCUUAAAGUAUCUUAAAAGGAAAAAUACCAAAACUCUAUUCUUAAUGCUUUAAGGAAAUAUUACUUUUGAAUCUUAUUUCUUUUGUAUGUGAUACCAUAGCGUGUAUCAUAAACAUGUAAGGAUGGAAGAUAAACUAUGAUCUAAUAUUUGAUACACAAACUCAGACUCCUCCACAUCCCACGUGACAAUGAUCCCACAAGAGAAAAAUGGAUGAACCUUGCACUUAGGAAAAGCGAUCUGACAAAAAUAUUUGUUUUCCUGCUGUAGACUCCACUUCCAACAAAUCCACUAUUGCCCCAACAAGAAGUAUCACACGGCUGAAGAUCAAACUCCAUACGAAGCAAAGCUCACUCUUUUUUCUCCUAGUAUUAAAAAGACCAAGAUAAUCCUUUCCUGCCCAAGUGAUAGACUCCAUCCCGUACGUCAAUGAAUUUUUUUUCAAAUCUAUGCUUCGACUCACUUGAAGCGGUGAAACAACGAUCAAUCUACAUGGAGAGAAAGUCAGAUCGCAUACCAACAAAAAUCAUAAAUUAUCAAAGAAAAAUCUCCAUUCGUUACUCCUUUCAUUGUGGAUCACAUCUGUGUCUUGUUCCAUGCUUUUCGAAACACCAAAUUGCUCACGUCACCGUAAUUCCAUGAAAACCAGAAAUACUUUUUUUUAUAUGCGGCAUAGACACACAUCACCGGUAACAUAUUAUUUGCCCACCCCUGCGUGCUGAUGUGGCUUAACGAGGAAAGAGCAUACCCAACUUUAUUAUUAUAGAUUUUAUGAUAUUUUGUUCUUUUGAAAACUGAAUUCUCAAUUUUUUUUAUAUUUGACUAAACUAAAUAAAGUAAUACUAUAUUUAAAAAUUGUUUUACAUAAUAUAUAUACUAUAUAUUUUAGUUUUAGUUUUUAUUUUCACCACAAAGAAACGACAAAAUUGUAAUUAAUUAAUUUAAAUUGAUUUUAAAUACAGUGAUGAAAUGUGUAAAUAAAAACGAAAUACAAAACUGAAGUAUUUAAUUUAUUAUAAAUACAUUGACUAAAUGUGUAAAUAAAAAUAAAUAUUUAAUCUACUACAUGUGUCUCCAAACAAUUCUCAUUUAUUAUGUUAUCCAUGUUUCCAAACAAUACCAAAAUUAUAUUAAUUUUAAUAAUAUAGAUAGAUACACGUUUUGGCAUUAUUUUAUUUGGUGGUAAAAACGUGCCUACUUUUGUGAACAAAACAGUUCGAAAAACCAACUUAUAGUGCAAUGCUAUUUAUUACGAGGACCAAGUACAUUAUAUAUUUGGAAAUAAUGUGGGUGAUGUGUAUGAUGAGCAUCAGAGAAAUUUAUAUUAUGAUAUGGUUACAAAUGUAUUUUUAUGAAACUGUAAUUUCUGAUAAUAGCAGGGAAGAACUUAACAUGCAAAACAGUUUUAUAAUACACUGCAAAAAAAACCAUCUAAGAAACAUGUAGGGCAGGGCAUUAUAGAUUGUCAUUGGCAUCCUUCUCGACAUCCAUCGAUCAAUCCAAUAUAUAAAAUAGAAAUCAAUACAAAAACCAAAGGAGUUCCAAGAAGAUUCUGAAGGAAUUCUUUUAUAUUUUUUUAACCUAAGAGAAAACCUAAAAUAAAAUAAUAUAAAUCAUAAAAGAAAGAAUACCCUAAACAACAACUAAUAAAACACAUAAAUAGAAUUUUGAGUUGGCCAAAGGCAUCCUGUUAAUUUGUGGUGACUUCUGGGUCUCAGUCGGUCUUGAAAUAGACUCGGCCAUCUACUUUCAUCAGUGUCGAUCGACACCAAAGGGUCAUUAUUGAUCGACACUCCUUCAUUUCUUCGACAGUUUCCUCUCGCGAGUUUGACAUACCAUUCUUCAGUGAAAUGAUCAUAACUCUAUAUUUAACCUUCAGAUGGACCUUUCCUAUUCCAUCGGUUUGAGGUCCAUCUGAAGGUUUUUUUUUUUUUUUUUUUGAUGUCAAAAAAAAAAAAACCUUCAGAUGGACCUCAAACCGAUGGAAUAGGAAAGGUAACUCAAAUAUAUAUCUUGUGUCAAAAUAUGAGCUCAAUCCCAGCGUGGGAAGGUCUCCGUCCAUCGCCAAAUUUUGGACACGUCUUUACAGUUCUGCAACUCAAAUAAUUCUGAAAUCAACAAAGUUCCUCAAACGUAUGUGAACCUGAAAUGACUCUAAAAUAGACUCCAAACAUAUAUAAUAGACUAUAUAUAUUAUAUAAAUUCUGAAUCUGUGACUUAAUCGAAUUAUUGUUUAUGCAUAUCAAAAAUACUUUAAAUUAAAUAUAAAAAGGCUAUUUUUAUUUAAUAAAUUUAAAAACAAGUGGUUGUGAUUUUUUGUUUUUGUCAAACUAGAUCCGUUUAUAUUGGAAUUUGAAAAGAUGUAUAGCUUAAAUUAGACUUGUUUCAAUUUGUGAUUCAUCUAUAAAUGUACUUCUAUGUCGUUCUAAUUUUUAAAACACCAUUAUUUCAUUAUCAAAAAUGAAAGUUGCUUUCAAACCUUGGUUUAUUGGUUUCGUUAUGCUCGCAAUUCUUCUGUUUGGAGAAAGGGCUAUUGCUCGGACAGGAGAAAAUAGGUGGUGUUUCACAACUUUAACACCUAUACCAUCAUCAAAAAAUCCCAACCCUCCAAGAUGUACUCCCGAUAGCUGUGAAGCCUUAUGUCUCAAAAAGAAAAAAGCACUGAUAAGUAAAUGCCUUAGAAUAAAUUACGGAUGCAUGUGUCGGAUUGACUGCGCUAACUGAUUUUUUAUAUACAUUAAAACUCGAAUAAUAUUUAUAAUAAUACUAUGUAUUUGUCAUAAAUAAAUAUAAAUAACAAAUAUUGAUACAUGUAUCUUCAUCUC